AGACCAUUCUCUGACUUCCUAAGCUCUCAGACAACUUAGGAACCAAUACACACUGCACAUGUCUCUUUCUGAAAUGUUCUCCGCCUUAGUUUUUAUGAGAGAGUGAAAGCACAGUUCUGUAAUAUAUGAAGAAAUCUGUGGAUUCUGUAGAGACAGGAACAGCGUGACAUAAAUCUCAGGAAGGCAUCUUAUUUCACAAAUUUCCCAUUUGAUUCCUGCUAUUGUGUGAGGCUGGGCUCUUCAUCUCUAUCAAAAUCAGUCUGGAAGCCUUCUGAGAUUGCCUCUAGAAAAGCCAAUACUCCCGCGGAUUGGACCACAGAUGCUAUAACCAAACUGAGAAUCAGAAACGCUAAGUAACUUGCCCAAGAAUGCAUAGUAAUAAAAGGUGACACCACUGACUUGUCCUGAUCUGGAGAGGCUCUGGCUUGCUCAGCCUGCUGUUGAGUUUGCAAUGAGAGUGUAAAGUCAAGACAGCUACAGAUGCUAACAGGACAUGGACACCUUUUCAGAUAACUGACUUCAUCUGUCUGCCUGUUUAUGUGGAGAGCUGAUUAUCAGCCAUGUGCAAAUACUGGGGAACCGAUCUGAUCUCUGUGAUGUUUUACACUACAGGCGGAGCAGAGCCAUCUUUCUAUCCAACAUUCACUCAGCGAGGCAGGAAAUAUAAUUAAGCUUUCAUGCAUAUUCCCAUGGUACCCUGCACAGUCAAUCAUUGAAAAAAAGUCAGUGCCACAAGAGCUUGUUUGUUUGAAGACAUCACCUAAGAACUUAAGAGCUCUGAGAGGCAGGAGAAGGGAUGUAAGCCAUGUGAGGCAUGGGUAGGAGUGGUGGGUUCCUUAGGGGCGUGAAAACUGGGCUCAAGGUGAUUGUGGGCAAUUAUUCUGCAAUGCACAUAAAGUAUAUUUAGUCCAAUAAGCACAAUCCAGAGAGUUUUUCAUGGGAAAAUUUCACUCCAACAUUGCAGUGCCUAAAAGAAUGGAAAUUACUUGAAAAUGGUCAGUAUUGCUAGAGUAUAAUAAUUGCUUGUUAGGCCAAAUCUAUUGUGCGGAGGACUUUACAGAAAAUAUUUAUAGACACUUUUAAUACAAAGAAAUGUUAUAGGACCAAGAAUUAUAAUAUCUAAUUUGAAUUCCAGCUUUGUCAAUUAUUGUGUAAACUUGAGCAAAUUACUGAACCACUAAAACAUCAAUUUCUUCAUCCAUAAAAUAGGUAUGGUAAGAUAUAAUCAUACUAUUGUUCUGUGGCUCAAACUAAACAAUGUAAUAUAUUUAAAGUAACUCAUAGACUACCUAGACCUCAAUAAGCUGUGAUUGGUUUUAUUAAUCUUUUUGUUGUUAUUCACGAAACACUAGUUCAAAUACAUAUAGUGAAUGCAUUUAGAAAGCUAUACAUACUAGACUCUCUUUUUGAUAGUUACAGUGCAUGUACGAAUUUUAAAGGCUCUGAAAUGGUCUAAGUUAAAAACAAUAACAAAAUAGCAAUAGGAAAAAAAAAAAAAGGACACCUGUGUGGUUAACCCAGUAUUUUCCAAAUGUAUUUGAAAAUAAGCCCUGUUUUUUUUCUUUUCUUUUUUUUUGCAGAGUCUCACUCUGUUGCUCAGGCUGGAGUGCAGUGUCAUGAUCUUGGCUCGCUGCAACCUCCACCUUCCAGGAUCAAGUGAUUCUCAUGCCUCAGCCUCCCAAGUAACUGGGAUUACAGGUGUGUGCCACCACGCCCAGCUAAUUUUUGUAUUUUUAGUAGGGACAGCAUUCAACAAUGUUGGCCAGGCUGGUCUCAAACUCCUGACCUCAAAUGAUUCUCCCAACUUGGCCUUCCAAAGUGCUGGGAUUAUAGGCAUGAGCCAUUGUGCCCGGCUGGGCCCUAUUUUUUUCUAUAUUUAAUUCUUACUACUAUGUCAUAGAACUAGGAUUUCACAUACUUUGGUAAAAGUCAACUUUGUCCAAAUUCUUUAGUUUUCAGAUCCCCAAACAAGUCUCUAUCCAAUAUGAGGUUAUAGCCCUUACCACAGGACACUCCAUACCAUGCGCUAUGGUGAAAGACAGACAUCUAUUACAAUCUCAAAGUUGGUUCCAUAUUGGAAUCACCUAGAUUACUUUAAAAAUUACUGGUGUUUGGGUCCCACCAGAGAUUUCUAUAUAAUUGGAAUAGAUUAAGGCCUGGUCUGAAAAUCUGUUUGAAACAGCCUAGAUAAUUCCAAAAGGCAGCCAAGUUUAAGAACUAGUGCAAAUGAUAAUCCUAGGGCUACUUUUUUUUAACACCAUUGUCAUAUUUUUCAUUCAGAUUUGAGGGUAAGCCUGCAAUGUUUUUUACAAAGCUCAAGAAUUUGGUAAAUACCCAAUGAUCAUGAUCAGGUAUCUCUCUGUAAUCAUUCUUUUAUUAACUCAUUUAAUAAUCAUAUACUGAUCACAAAGGAAACAGCUAGGUUCAAUAGGUUCUGUUCAACCCUCCUAACUAACUCCUUGCCCACCCACUUCCCAAAGCCCUCCCGUGUUUCUCAGUACUACUACUCACUUGGAUUAUUUUACCAUGCAGAAUACCACAUGGGGUGUUCUGCCCAGCUAAUAAUUAUCUUUUUGUUUGUGCCUAAUUCACGAAGCAUCCAUCCCCCUGCCCUCCAGCUGAACCAUGAGGUCCUAAACUCAUAUAUCAGCAAUGGAGAUAGAUAGGAAGGCAGAGACAGCCUCAUACAGAAUAAAGGACAAAAGCUUCAGAGUAAAAUAUACAUGAGUGUAAACCCUGAUUCUACCUCUUAUAAUCUGCAUGGUCUUAGAAAUUUUAAUUUCUCUGAGCUCAGUUUUCUUAUUUAUAAAAUAGGCGUGAUAAUAUUAACCUCACAUAGUGUGAAGAUUCAAUGAGAUAAACCACGUGAAAUUUAUAGAUCCAGGCAUAACACACUAGAGAUGAUCAAACAAGAAAGUGCUUAUUUAUCCAUGUUGACCAUUUUGAGACCUUAGCUUAUUGCACCACACUUGUACUGAGCAGGAUGUAGACUCCUCAAAGGGUAAUCUUGGAAAAUAGACAUUUCAAGAGCCAGGAGAAAGAAAGACUUAUGGUACUUUCAGCAAAGUUAGUUUUCUUGAACUCAUUGUUUUUCUGCUAUAAAUAAAAAAUUGAAGAAAAAAUAAUAUGGUCAUAUUGAUACAUGAAUGUAGAGAGGGAAUAUAUUACUAUUCUGGAUAACUAAU
Homo sapiens (human) is the source of this 3185-nucleotide long non-coding RNA. Ensembl annotates it as long intergenic non-protein coding RNA 1830. NCBI's taxonomy places the organism in Eukaryota, Metazoa, Chordata, Mammalia, Primates, Hominidae. The record is from Ensembl.